Molecule: ribosomal RNA, 448 nt
Filed under: uncultured bacterium
Lineage: Bacteria
Description: partial 16S ribosomal RNA
Rfam family: Bacterial small subunit ribosomal RNA
Source: RNAcentral
AUGCCAGACUCCUACGGGAGGCAGCAGUGGGGAAUAUUGCACAAUGGGGGAAACCCUGAUGCAGCGACGCCGCGUGAGUGAAGAAGUAUUUCGGUAUGUAAAGCUCUAUCAGCAGGGAAGAAAAUGACGGUACCUGACUAAGAAGCCCCGGCUAACUACGUGCCAGCAGCCGCGGUAAUACGUAGGGGGCAAGCGUUAUCCGGAUUUACUGGGUGUAAAGGGAGCGUAGGUGGCAUGGUAAGCCAGAAGUGAAAACCCGGGGCUCAACUCCGAGGAUUGCUUUUGGAACUAUCAAGCUGGAGUGCUGGAGGGGUAAGCGGAAUUCCUAGUGUAGCGGUGAAAUGCGUAGAUAUUAGGAGGAACACCGGUGGCGAAGGCGGCUUACUGGACAGAAACUGACACUGAGGCUCGAAAGCGUGGGGAGCAAACAGGAUUAGAUACCCCGGUA